GCCCCCUUAGCUCAGGGGAUAGAGCACCGGCCUCCGGAGCCGGGUGCGCAGGUUCGAAUCCUGCAGGGGGCACCU
This 75-nucleotide transfer RNA is filed under the name Microbispora hainanensis. RNAcentral describes it as "tRNA-Arg". It matches the Rfam family "tRNA". From Rfam's summary of the family: Transfer RNA (tRNA) molecules are approximately 80 nucleotides in length. Their secondary structure includes four short double-helical elements and three loops (D, anti-codon, and T loops). The record is from RNAcentral. Lineage: Bacteria; Bacillati; Actinomycetota; Actinomycetes; Streptosporangiales; Streptosporangiaceae.